CUACGGGCCGCAGCAGUGAGGAAUAUUGCGCAAUGGGGGAAACCCUGACGCAGCGACGCCGCGUGGAUGAUGAAGGCCUUCGGGUCGUAAAAUCCUGUCAGAAGGAAAGAAGUGUAUGGUAGCUAAUAUCUGCCAUACUUGACGGUACCUUCAAAGGAAGCACCGGCUAACUCCGUGCCAGCAGCCGCGGUAAUACGGAGGGUGCAAGCGUUGUUCGGAAUUACUUGGCGUAAAGCGCGCGUAGGCGGUUUUAUAAGUCAGAUGUGAAAGUCCACGGCUCAACCAUGGAAGUGCAUUUGAAACUGUAAGACUUGAGUAUUGGAGGGGGUAGUGGAAUUCCCGGUGUAGAGGUGAAAUUCGUAGAUAUCGGGAGGAAUACCGGUGGCGAAGGCGACUACCUGGCCAAAUACUGACGCUGAGGUGCGAAAGCGUGGGGAGCAAACAGGAUUAGAUACCCCGGUAGUC
RNAcentral lists this ribosomal RNA (465 nucleotides) under uncultured bacterium. Its description in RNAcentral is "partial 16S ribosomal RNA". It matches the Rfam family "Bacterial small subunit ribosomal RNA", at positions 339 to 795 of the family's 1533-position model. The record is from RNAcentral.